Molecule: transfer RNA, 74 nt
Filed under: Rhodothermaeota bacterium MED-G18
Lineage: Bacteria; Pseudomonadati; Rhodothermota
Also listed under: 4 other names
Description: tRNA-Arg
Rfam family: tRNA
About the family: Transfer RNA (tRNA) molecules are approximately 80 nucleotides in length. Their secondary structure includes four short double-helical elements and three loops (D, anti-codon, and T loops). Further hydrogen bonds mediate the characteristic L-shaped molecular structure. tRNAs have two regions of fundamental functional importance: the anti-codon, which is responsible for specific mRNA codon recognition, and the 3' end, to which the tRNAs corresponding amino acid is attached (by aminoacyl-tRNA synthetases). tRNAs cope with the degeneracy of the genetic code in two manners: having more than one tRNA (with a specific anti-codon) for a particular amino acid; and 'wobble' base-pairing, i.e. permitting non-standard base-pairing at the 3rd anti-codon position.
Source: RNAcentral
GCGUUGGUAGUUCAAUUGGAUAGAAUAUCAGAUUUCGGCUCUGAGGGUUGAGGGUUCGAAUCCUUCCCAACGCA